Molecule: long non-coding RNA, 2104 nt
Organism: Amphiprion ocellaris (clown anemonefish)
Lineage: Eukaryota; Metazoa; Chordata; Actinopteri; Pomacentridae
Source: Ensembl
UAGGGAAAAGAGAAAACAUACACUGAUACAAAAGAUAACAUGCACAUAAAUCACUGGUUCAUGGUUUUCCAAUCAGCUUUACAGCCAUAAAUGUGCAGCCAAAGAGACAGUCAGUCACUUCCUCCACCAGCAAACAGCCUCAACACUCUGCACAUCAAGAGAGAUUGCAGCAUCUGAUCAGAAAACUUCACUGUUAAAGUUGCUGUUUUCUGUGGUCUUCGCCAAGGAAAACUGAAAAUUUUCAAGAAAUUUCAUGGUGUCAGAUGGUAAAAAGCAGGUCGACAACUGAGUCCAACACAUCAUGGAGAACAGUUCCAUCAGUUUGGAAUCCAUCCAGGAGGCAGCAAUGCUCAGAUCAGGUGUUGUCGGAAACCCGUACCUGGCAGGAGGAUACCUGAUAGGAAGCUCCCUGCUGGGCUUCCUCAUCAUCAUCGGGGCCUUCUUGUACAAUCAACGCAAUCUCAGUCUUUUUAAAAGAUCCUGCAUCAUAUCCUUCACCUGCCAGGAAAACAGCCUCAUGGGUCUUCAACUCGUCUACAGCUGUCUGUUGACUCUGCUCACCAUGGAUGCUCUGAAUCUGAUCGUGGCAAUAAUCUUGGGAGCUACACUGGUUGCAUUGUCCUGCGAUGUAAUCAACUGUGUUCUGGCUGAAAACAUCUGGUUCCUGUCCAGGUGGUUUGGAGUGAUUAUUCAUCUUGUGAACGCCUCGUUGUCCAUCUAUAAUCUGCAUCAGCCACUGAGUGUAGCCAGGGUUCGCAUCGCCUACUCAUUGGUUUCUGUGGUGAUUAUCAUUAUGGUCCCACUUUUUCUGUAUGUCUACAACGUGCCCACAUUCACUUUGGCCGCUUUCAUGUUUCUGUUUGCUCUGUCCAUCAUUGUAGCAUCUAGAAGGCCUACCUUGUCCCCGUCCACUUCCACCCUGAAGAAACUGAUCAUGGUUGUUGCAAUGUGCAACUUCCUGGUUGUCUACGUCCCCACUUUCAUUCUUCAGUGCCUCGUGUACACCGCAGCCAAUGUUACCGACUUAGCGAAUUACCAAAAUAUUUAUUUUAAUGUUCUGUAUUUCACAAACCUUCAUCUCAUUUUCGAUGGACUCCAGUGUGCUUUGUUCCUGAAAUUGCCUUCUGGAGAAGAACAGCAACAGCAGCAACAACAACUGCAAGAGUGGCGCCAACAACAGUGGGAGCCACAACAGCAACAACAGUGGCGUCAACAAGAGCAACAACAGUGGCGUCAACAACAGUGGCAACCACAACAGCAACAACAGUGGCGUCAACAAGAGCAACAACAGUGGCGCCAACAACAGUGGCAACCACAACAGCAACAACAGUGGCAGCCACAACAGCAACAACAGUGGCGCCAACAACAGUGGCAACCACAACAGCAACAACAGUGGCGCCAACAACAGUGGCAACCACAACAGCAACAAAAGCUGGGUUUCCAAAAUGCAGGAUUCACUGGUUCUACAAAUGUAUAUCAAUAAUGAUCAAAAUUAUGUCUCUGCACCAUAAAAAUCAAUGUACAUCCCAACCACUGGUGGAUAACCUAGCGUUGUUUCACAAUUCAGAAUUCUUGCUGUCCUCAUGGAUUGUAUCUGUUGGACAGAAGGGUGCAGCUCCUGCUUUAUUCAUAUAAACCCUGAAAUCACAGAUGAAAAUCACCAUUUCACCCUCUCUGUCUGACUUAAAAUCCAGCAUGAAGCAAGAAGAAAUGUGUAAAUACUUCCAUAAUGUACAGGCAGUGGAGAGCUGUAUAAAAUACAGUUUACGGAAAUAGCAGCAACUUUGAAAACUUUUCAAAAUGAAACAUCUGUUCAAUAUGUUGGUUUGUUCAAUUACUUAAAGGCGGAGGGCACAUCUGAAAUAUGUUGUAGUUCCUACAACGUUUACCUGAUCUGGAUGUAAAUACCUUCAAAAUUAAAGCUGAAAGUCUGUAACUAAAGCACAUCUGGAUUGUUUCAUUUAAUGUCUUGGUCAUUUUUUUGGAUUGGAAAGUGAGGGGGCAAUUACUUUUUCACAUGGACAGUGUUUUCUUCAAAAAAAUAAUAAAAUCAAUCAGUCAAUUGAAAACUGCAUUUUUUGCUUUCUUGAGUUUUCUUUGUCUC